Malaclemys terrapin pileata is the source of this 3398-nucleotide long non-coding RNA. RefSeq lists it as uncharacterized. The transcript has 3 exons. The record is from RefSeq and is a predicted model, not a curated record. NCBI's taxonomy places the organism in Eukaryota, Metazoa, Chordata, Testudines, Emydidae.
CUGCAGUCUGCCCCAGGGCAUGGGGCUAGAUGAUGACUGGCAGUAGCCUUAUACUGAGGUGAGGUGGGGAUAGUGGGUGGGGGUUCCCUGAGGAGAGGAGACCCUAAGACUGAGGGGUUACUGCCAGGGGGCAGCACCCCAGGUACAAGGGCACCAUGGUCCACGGAGGGACAUGGGGGCCAGAGGACAGGUGGACCACCGGCCUGCAGAGGGUGCUCCAGGAUGCUGGAAGAGCUAAUUCCCAUGGAUGACCAGCAGGAGGCGCCACAGGGGGGAAUGAAAAGGCACUUUGCAUUCUGCAAUGGAUUCCAUGCCCACAACUGACCUUGAUGCAGAGGACAGGCUGGUUACUAGAGGUGACUGAGCAACUAAACGACUUACAGGAGAUUUGCUGAUGACACAAAUAUGUGUGGAUUUCAACCAAUUCUAUGCAAUCGGCUUUCACUGUGACCAGGGGGAUCCUUCCUGGGACUUACUGCUGACAAAUGUAAUGGAUUUUUCACAGUUCUGUGGGGACUGGGGAGAAUUAGAAUAUAACUGGUUAAAAGGCCAUAUGAAAAGCUCUAAAUUCACUUGCAUUCACCACACCCGAUAAGUCCCAAGUUAGUGAAGUACCAUAUAUUGUAUCCAAUCAUUAUCUGCCUUAUGAGAGGAGACUUGAGGAACUUGGCUUGGUUAGCCUAACAAAACAAAGGCUGAGGGGAGAUAUGAUUGCUCUCUAUUAAUACAUCAGAGGGAUAGAUACCAGCGAAGGAGAGGAGUGAUUUUAAGUUAAGCACCAAUGUGGACAAGAACAAAUGGAUAUAAACUGGCCAUCAACACAUUUGGGCUUGAAAUUACACAAUGGUUUCUGACCAGCAGAGGAGUGAAGUUCUGGAACAGCCUUCCAAGGAAGCAAAAAACCUAAGUUGUUUCAAGACUGAGCUUGAUAAAUGUAUGGAGGGGAUGGUAUGAUGAGGUUGCCUACAAUGGCAUACGGCCCAUCCAUGUCCGUUAUCAGCAAAUAUCUGCAACAGCUGGAGAUGGGACACUAGAUAGGAAGGUUUCUGAGUUACUACACAGAUUUCUUUACAGGUGUCUGGCUGGUGGGUUUCACCCACUUGCUCAGGGUCUAACUGAUCGCUAUAUGGGGUCAGGAAGUAAUUUUGCCCCAGGUUAGAUCAGCAGCUACCCUGCAGAGGGGGCAUUGCCUUCCUCUGCAGCCUGAGGCGUGGGUCACUUGCGGGUUUGAAUUAGAGUAAAUGGUGGAUUCUCUGUAACUUUAAGUCUUUAAAUCAAGAUUUGAGGACUUCAGUAACUCAGCCAGACUUUAUGGACCUUUUACAGGAGUGGAUGGGUAAGGUUCUGUAGCCUGCAAUGUGCAGGAGGUCAGACUGUGAUCAUGAUGGUCCCUUCUGACCUUAAAGUCUAUGAAUCUGAGUCAAUUACAUAGAUUAAUUUACUUGUGGAAAUGCAUAGUUUCCUUGACAAGAUUGGACACCCAAAGGCUACCAGACGACUGGGAAAACAGAAUGUAUAACCUACAGAAAUUGAUACCUAGAUCUUAUACAGCAGUUUUCAUCCAUGGAUCUCCAAGCACUUCCCAACGGAUGAUCAGUAGCGUUAUCCUGAUUUGACAGGUGGGAACAUGGAGGCACCGUGUCUUGCUCAAAGUCACACAGCAGACCCAUGGCAAAUCCAGGAAUAGAACUCCAGUGUCCUGAGUCCCAGACCUGAUGUGUGAGCAUGGUAUCGUGUGAAAAACAACUGUACUGGAGCCAGCUCCUCAGCUGAUGUAAAUUGGGACUGCUUUACUGAAGUCAACUGAGCGAUGCUGACUUGCAUCCUCUGAGGCUCUGGGCCAAUGUUUUCUGUGUAAAUUCCAUAACUUGAGAAAUGAGAGGGAAAAACCGCUAGCUUCCAAACUCAGAGGAAUGAUUGUUACAGCCCAGGAAUCUGAUCAAAUAAAAACGCUAGCAUCGGCAGGAGGACCCGAGAAACUAAUCCUCUUGAUUAUAAGGUUAGAAACGGUUGAUACUGCUGUUGUGGCAGAUCAUAUUGUGUCUAUGAUCCAGUGUAGGGAGCAAGUCUUUGAUAGAGUUCCAAGUGACAGACCUCUUCUCAAAGUAUAAGCUGGAGGGAUCAGAUAAGUGUCGGAACUAGAACCGGACAAAGAAUUUGUGAUCAGCCAGGGAAAAGAAAGGGGAAUAUUAAGGGGGAGAUAUUAAGUUCCACAGUUGCAGAGCGGUGACUUAUUGGCUUAAAUUAUCAAAAGUGACUAGUGUUUUUUGGAUGCGUCAGUUUUUGGUGCCAGACUGAGCCCUUAAAGGGGUUUGAUUUUCUGACAAUGGAGGCCGAGGACUUUCUGAAAACCAGGCCCCUUUGAGGUGUGUCACCCAAAAUCACGAGUCGCUUUUGAAAACGGAGGCUACGUCUCUUUGCCAUUUGACUCCCAUUAAAUUGCACCACCAUGAAAAUGCAGUGUAUACACAGGUAAUGCCAGCUGGUCCUCUAGAGCAGUGGUUCUCAAAGUAGGGCCGCCGCUUGUUCAGGGAAAGCCCCUGGCGGGCUGGGCCGGUUUGUUUACCUGCCGUGUCCACAGGUUCGGCUGAUCACGGCUCCCACUGACCGCAGAUCGCGGUUCCAGGCCAAUGGGGGCUGCAGGAGGUGGCACGAGCCAAGGGACGUGCUGGCUGGACCCAGUAACUUCUGCCUCCUACCACUCCCAGCAAUAACAGUGCUUCUCGUUCCUCUCUGCCCCUUCUUUCACUGCUCCCACUAAAUGCCACUUCUUUGGCUGACAUUUACAUCCAAUCAGUCCAGCAUGUGAUCUCAGCAGGUCUGGCUGUUCCUGGCAAGCCUCACACGUUAUGUUUUCCCCAGGUGUUCCAGAAUGUAUAACAGUCUGCUGCCAGGAGCACACAAGUUUUGAAGAUGCCAACUGAACUAUCAGAGGGUGUUUCAUUAUGGGUCAAAUCCUGUACUCCUUGCAAUCAAUAGGAAAAGUUAUUUUUACUUCAACAGGACCAGGAUUUGGUCUUUAUUGGGACUCCACGAUGGGUUUCAUGGGAUAUCAGAAAGAUCCAGGGACUCUUGGAGGGUUGGGAGGAGCACUUACCUAAACCAAUCAUGUCCUGAUUCAAAUUCACUUCUGUGCUUGGGCGGAGGUUCAGAUUAGUUCCUAGCCUUAAUUUACCCGGCCUUAAUUCAAAGGGUAUCUCCCCAGGGCUUGCCCUGGCCCUGCUCUCUUUCAGCCUGUCAUUAUACAGCUAUAACUGUAAAUUUAUACUCUGUGCCCUAAUGAUUAAACCCAGAUGAGUCAGCAUGACAGAUGGGAAAAUUGCAUUAAGCAAAAUGUAACUGAAUUUGGAUCUGCUUUAUAAUGUGAUAAAUAAAAUCAACGGACGCGCAGGUGGUAA